Long non-coding RNA from Dipodomys ordii (Ord's kangaroo rat), 169 nucleotides. RefSeq lists it as uncharacterized. NCBI's taxonomy places the organism in Eukaryota, Metazoa, Chordata, Mammalia, Rodentia, Heteromyidae. The record is from RefSeq and is a predicted model, not a curated record. The transcript has 3 exons.
GCUGUUCGGUGCCUUUCACCACGUGGUGCUGGGUGAUGACCCCGAGGUCAAGGCCAGCAAGCCCGCCCCGGACAUCUUCCUGGCCUGCGCCCGCAGGUUCUCUCCUCAUUCCCCCACCCCCAUAUCAACCAGUGCCUGGUGCUGGAGGACACACCCCACGGCAUGGCGG